Molecule: ribosomal RNA, 356 nt
Filed under: uncultured bacterium
Lineage: Bacteria
Description: bacterial SSU rRNA
Rfam family: Bacterial small subunit ribosomal RNA
Source: RNAcentral
AACGAACGCUGGCGGCAUGCCUAACACAUGCAAGUCGAACGCGUGGCUUCGGCCACGAGUGGCGCACGGGUGAGUAGCGCGUGGGAACCUGCCCUUCGGUACGGAAUAACCUCGGGAAACUGUGGCCAAUACCGUAUACGCCCCAUGGGGGAAAGAUUUAUCGCCGAAGGAGGGGCCCGCGUCCGAUUAGGUAGUUGGUGAGGUAACGGCUCACCAAGCCUUCGAUCGGUAGCUGGUCUGAGAGGAUGAUCAGCCACACUGGGACUGAGACACGGCCCAGACUCCUACGGGAGGCAGCAGUGGGGAAUAUUGGACAAUGGGGGAAACCCGUGAUCCAGCAAUGCCGCGUGAGUGAU